Molecule: long non-coding RNA, 532 nt
Organism: Neoarius graeffei (lesser salmon catfish)
Lineage: Eukaryota; Metazoa; Chordata; Actinopteri; Siluriformes; Ariidae
Exons: 2
Source: RefSeq, a predicted model, not a curated record
UUUCAUCCUGAAGGAUUUGCUUACUUCCCGGGGACUGGAUUUUCUCUGUGUGACUGAGACGUGGCUAGCUGUUGGUGAGUCCAGCGCCCUCACAGAACUUUUAUCUGGGGAUUGCUGCUAUUUUAACUCCCCACGGACCUCGGGCCAAGGAGGAGGAAUAGCGACCAUUUAUAAAAGUCAUCAUAAAUUGAUGAAGCCUGUGGCGAUGGUGGCAAGGAAAAACUCCCUCAGACGACAUGAGGAAGAAAUCUCGAGAGGAACCAGGCUUCAUUUGGGUGGCACGGUUGUGUAGUGGUUGGCAUGGUUGUCUCACAGCAAGAAGAUUCCGGGUUCGAAUCCAGCGGCCGGUGAGGUCCUUUCUGUGUGGAGUUUGCUCUGGUUUCCUCCACAAUCCAAAGACAUGCAGUUAGGUUGACAUGGGGUGGCCUUGGGCUGAGGUGCCCUUGAGCAACCCCUGACUGCCCCCCGGGCUAAAUGCAGAGGAUGAAUUUCACUGUGCUUGAAGUAAAGGUUUCUUCUUCUAAACAGACAA